GGAUGUGAGGGGGGGUCUGGCUGCGACCUCUGUCACCCCACUGAUGGCUGGCUGGCCGGGCGGGUGUCCCCUUCCUCCCUCACUGCCCCAUGUGCGUCGCGCCCAGCCCACAGCUGCCUCGGUCCAAGAGGACGGCCGCCCGUGAGCAGAGAGGGGCGGGUCUUUGGUCCAGGUUGUCCGAGCAGCUGCUCUCCCCGCUAGAACCUCCGAACAAGCUCUCAAGGUCCAGGCUGACCUCGGCCUGCAUCUCUGUGUGUGGCUUUGUGCAAGGCACAGUCGCUCUUU
RNAcentral lists this small nuclear RNA (285 nucleotides) under Erinaceus europaeus (western European hedgehog). RNAcentral describes it as "7SK RNA". It matches the Rfam family "7SK RNA". Rfam says of the family: 7SK was discovered as an abundant small nuclear RNA in the mid-70s but a possible function has only recently been suggested. The record is from Rfam by way of RNAcentral. Lineage: Eukaryota; Metazoa; Chordata; Mammalia; Eulipotyphla; Erinaceidae.